Molecule: long non-coding RNA, 5254 nt
Organism: Aquila chrysaetos chrysaetos
Lineage: Eukaryota; Metazoa; Chordata; Aves; Accipitriformes; Accipitridae
Exons: 5
Source: RefSeq, a predicted model, not a curated record
CUGGGCGGCGCUGCCUGCGGGCUCGCAGCGCCGGGUGCGGCGGCGAGUUUUGUCUCUGCGGGCGAACCGGAGGGAGGCCGCGGGCCGUGCGGGUGCAUUCUCGUUCCCCGAUGUGAGAGUCGUUCACUCGUUCGGGAUUGUGCUUCUCAAAAUCGACCCCAGCAUGGCCACCGCUGGGCACCUGCGGUAGAGGCCGUGUGCACUGGGCCGCGAGGAGCAGGCCGCCGCGGCGGAGAGCGGUAGCCCCGGCCCCCGUGGCCCCGAGCCCCGGGGCUUCCGUGCUCCUCCUUACGGGUAGUGGUAGUCGAACGGGGGCCAGGCCGUUGGCUGUAAGCCGGUUAGCAGCAAAGAAGCUGGAGAGAGAGGAUGACCCAGUUUUCAAGCCUCUCGCAGGUGAGAGAGGCCUAACGUUUAAUGCGACAAUAGUAUCGGUAUUGAAGAGGAGGCCGAUGACGUUUAGAGGACAAAUUUGCCUCUGUGCCGAUUCCGAUCGACCCAGCCCCCUGCUAGCCUCCUUUGUGUUCUGUGCUCCCAGGCUUUCUGUGACUUCCUCACCAGGAUUAAGAUGUUGAGAAGAGACUGGUUGAGGUUGGAAGGAACCUCUGAAGGUCAUCUGGUCCAACUCCCCUGCUCAAGGAGGGCGACCUAGCAGACUCCCUUCACCUUCCACGGAGGCUUUGCUGCAGUUGAAAUAAAAUGAAGGUGUUUGGAAUACAGAGUAUCAGAUUCCAGGAACAUUCAUGAAAACUGCAAAAUUGAAAGCAAGAUUUUUCUAAGAAAAUUAGAUUUCUUAUUUGUAUCCUGUGAAUUCUGGUUCCUUUAUUUACUAUUUCAAGCAAAGUGUGAAUGGAAAAUCUAAUUUCUUGGGAGCUACAAUCAUAUUUCUAAAAAUGAAUUUGCAUAAACAGAAAAAAAUAUAUCUUGCAUCUCAGUAGUAUUUUCAGGUCUCAGUUAAUUUGACCCUGGUAACUCAUGAGAAUGCAGUCAAGCUGACAGGAGAUUACUAUUUCAGAUACUUCUUUGCCAGAGAUGGGAACAUUUCUUUUCUAAUAUUCUAGAUCAUUCAUGUUUUGUAUAUGUCAGAGUUUUGAUUUUUAGCUUGAUUAAAUUGUUUUAAGUACUUUGAUUCAGCUUAAUGGCCUUUCUGAAUGUAAUAUUUAAUUUAAAAAUGGAAGUUAGUAGAAUUUUAUAAAAAUGAGCAGUAAUGAGUUUACAACAGAGUGCGUAGUAUUAACUAGGAAUCCGAUAGUUUGCCACAUAUUGACAAUUUCUUGUCUGUCAUUAUAUGCUUUGCAUUUCAAUCUGAGUAAACUUUGGUAAUCAGGUUAAAAACUCAUCUUGUUGGUCAGAAAAGAUGUUUCCAGACUGACUUGUUUCUCUCUCAUUCUUUGAAUGGAGUUGGGAUUAAUUAACCUAUUUAAUAGAUGAUAGUGGCACAAACAGGUGCUGCCAUGGUUGUAACUGAUGAAAUACAGUGUAGGAUUAGAGCUGGAUAGUGAAUGUAUCAGUAGGCUGAAAUUACAGUUUAGACUUUGCUCCUGUACAUGGGAAUAAGGUUACAUGUGACAAGCAUGGCAAACUAAAUUAUUUUGUCUUUAUGAUUCCUGCUGCAAAAGAAGAAUAAUAUUACCGUUUCAUAGUCUUUUCUCCCUCUAUGUUAGAAAGGGCUUAUUCUAUGUAAAGAGAUGGUGGUAGGACAUUGGUGCCGAAACAUGCCAGGUCAUUAUCACCUUUCCCACAGAGAUGUUGACAAUUCAGUUGCAGGGUACUAGAAGAGUGGCAAUUGAACAUUUAUUUAUCAUCCUCAAGAGUACAUGUUUGGUUCGAGUAUCUGUUUCUAAAUAUUAAUUAUUUGAUGUUUCUGCUAAAAAUUAAUUUCUACACUUUUAUGCAAAACUUUAAGGCUCUAAGUGUUCUGGCAGUUGGCAUUGUUUCAGGUUGUACCUUUGAUUGCUUGAGGGCCAUAAUCAAUGUAGGUCAUUUUUUGUACACAGCACAUGGGUCUUGGGGGGGGCAGAGAGAAUUCUUGAGAUGAGAAAGGGUGGAGAGCGGGCCAUAGAUGUCUUGUGUGCUAGUGCCUAACCUCUGUGAGGUACAGGUUAGUAACUGCUACUUUUCGUAAGAGAUUGCAUGAGUGAAUGGAGAUGCUGCUAUGGAUGGUGGCAAGAACAUCAAAUAUUUGAGCUUCAUCUUUAAUGAGGGAUGAGGAGGAGCAAGAACUAGAUUUUCAGGAGAAAAUGUAAGGAAAUAAGUUACUUUCUGCUUCAUUUCAGCAUCACGGUACCUUGUGAGUAAAGUCUGCUGUUCACUACCUGGUUGACAGUUUGUAGGUAUCACCCCGCUGCUAACUCAGUCCUCAGGAACCCCUGCCAGUCACCAUGACCUUUCGAAGAUAAUCAAGAGUGGCCUUGCAAUGAUACUGGCCACCUCCCUCAGUCCUUGUGUGUGUAUCCCAUCAGAUCCCAUGGACUACAUACAUCCAGGUUGUUUAAAGAUCCCUAACCUGAUCCUCCUCUACCAAGGCCUGUUUUAAAAAGAGCUGAAGUACUACUACGAAACAGGUACUUGACCAGAACUGUUCAAGUUCAGGUUCCGGAUUCUCCAAACAAGAGUGCUCAACUACUUACUUCAAUAAUACCAUUACUUCAAGACCUUAUGAAAGAUUCCUUAUGGGCAACAGCAGAGAAAAACCAAAGAGGGUGCAGAAAGGGAAGAAAAACUAAGAUGCUGCUGACAGAAAAUGUGCAGAUGUCAUGACAAAAAAUACAAGUUACUUAUUUUUACAGUACCGUUAUUAACAAUUUGUCCUAAUGCACAAUUCUUUUCUACUGUUGGAAACUGAGAUAGGUCAUUGUUUCAAGUAUAUCAAUGAUACCAUGUACUAAAUUAAAACAGUAAAAGUUUAUUAAAGACAUUAUUUCUGUAAUUGCAUUUUUCAAAAGUAAAGGAUAAUUUUACAAAUCAUGUGAUUCCAAAGGUGACUCCUUAAUUUGCUCAGAGUUAAGAUAAGAAAGGAAAUGUUAUAAGUUACAUAGGUAUAUCUAAAGAUAUCACACCAGAAAAAAACUGUUGAAAAGUAAGUUACCACAAAAUACCAUGUUUUAUGUAUUUGUGAAUUUUAAAAACUGUACAUACCUCCUGUUGCAACUCUUCAAUACAUUUGGUUUUAUUUUCCACCUGUUUCUUUAUAUUAUUCAACUAAAAGAGAUAUUUCAAACAUUCAUUAAUAAACUCCUAAAAAAUUAUGCACUGUGUUAGAGAUUACUGUCAAUGUUCUUAAACAUGCAUAUGCAUGAGUCUGAUUAAUUCUAAUCGGACUGAAACACAUGCUAAUGUGUUACAAUGAUCAGAGUUUUAACCGUAAAGUACUACAAGAAUUUUGCUAGCCCAGUGUCACCAACAUUAAUAGCAAUGAACCAAUUCCUCAGUGGUUGUAGAGUUUAGAAAGAAGAAGGAAAAAAGAAAAAAAAAAAAAGAGUAACUUUGCAAUUUAAAAAAAAACAACCUUGUAUGAAGUUCUCCCCAGUCCAUGACAAAAAAUGAAUUUUCAUACCUUAUUUUCUAAAAUCUUCAACUGCUUUUCCUUUCUUGAAAUUUCAUUUUCAAUACUCUUAGCCUGGAAUUAUAAUUGUAAAUAUUUCACUUCUACAAUAAAAUUUUGAAAUCCAUUAUGAUAUUUAAAAAAAAAAAAAAAACAGGUAUGCUCUGAAACUACAGUAAGAAAGUAAAAAUAUUUGAACAUAUUUAAACUAAAACUCAUAUUACAUAUUGAAAGCUAAUCCAUACCCCAUCCAUCACUAAGUGGGUAUACAGAAAUAAAAAAAAAAAAAGAGGGUUCUCUGCCUGAAAUCUAACAAAUCUGGACUUUUAAGCCUCUAUGUAAAGAGUAAACAUCCUAGUGAAGGUUCUUGUCUUUUAUUUUAAAAGGGCUCAGCCAUGUGUACAUGUGUUGACUCAAUUGGUAGCAGCACUGAAAGAAAGAAGAAAGCCUCUGUAAGAGAUUACAUCCCCAGGUAGAGCUUUGCAGAAAAAGAAAAAAAAAAAAAAAGUUUUACAUUUAGAUUUUGUCCUACAUGUUAUAUUAUAUAUUUUCAUGAUAAAGCACAUGAUAUGGCAUACAUUUUCUUCUCUUUCAUCCAGUUUACUUUUAAUCUCUUCACCGUUCUUUACCAUCUUCUCCUUCAAAGACUCCAGUUCAUUUCUAAAUGCCAAGUUAACAAGCAUUAGUAAAUAUUUACUUAAUAACUUUAACUUCUUUUCACUAAUGCUAAAUAAACCCAUACUUUAUUUUCUAAAAAAAGCUGCUAAUAUUGAUGAGAACUUCAUACACUGUUCAAUGGAAAUGUUCUUAAAAUGAUGUAAAGUGACUGGUAAGUUAAUGUCUGACCUGUAUAUACUUUUUUGUAAGUAUGGAAAGAUAUUCCCCUUACCUGAGUAAAGUAUAUUCUAAUCUGUAAUAUCAUAAUGCGUCUAUGAAACAUGGAAGGCUGCCUGUCUAUUGGGUUGUUGGUACAUAGACUACUUCAGAGAGUAACGUUUAACCAGUUUCACCCUUUCACAUUUAAUCCAUAACCUUUAACUUCUAUUUUCAUUUCCUUCACAUCUAAGAUGUUAAUGCAGAACAGGAUCGCUCUCUGUAUGUAAUAUGAAGCUAGGGCAAAAAUUGUUCCUGUAGCAAUAGGUAUCACUAAUUUGUAGAAACUUCUACAUGCCCAACAUCAAUACUAAAUAGUUUCUGUUUGGCUAUAUAACCUAAAAAACCCCAUUAAACUAAAAAUCACAGAAAGCAGCAUAUGAACACAACAUUCAGAAUAACUGUGAAGGAAUGGAGUCUACUUCCUUUAAUAAUAUUGUAUAUUAGUAUUUAUUUUUACUUGCCUUAGCUGGCCAUUUGCUUCUUCCAGGUUUUCAACUAGCUGCUUUGCAUUUUCUUCUUUUUUUCUACUAUCCUAAAUAAAGACCCACAUAAGUAAAAUGAAUAAAAUUCAAAGUCACAUCUUAAAAAAUUCGAAGACACCUUAAGCAAUAUCUUGACCUGCCUUAUUCGCACAAAAAAUAGUUCAGAUACUCUACAGAACCAUGUCAUAUUGCAGUUUACCAUAUGAUUUGUAUUUUAAAUUGAAUGUUGUCCUUUAAAAACAGCUGGAAGUUUACAACUUGCCUCGUGACUUUCUUGCAGUUUCUUGAGUUCUGUAGCCAUACCACUUUUCUCUUGUGCUAUUUGUUCCUUUUCUAAUAAAAGCUUAUUGAUAUA